CYCAGGAGUCUGGUGGGAKCAGGUGCGCGGACGAGUMAGGGAUACGUUCUMUGCGUCUGGUCUGUCURUCUCUCGCCGUUGCGGGGUUUUGCUUCCUCCGGCCKAGGAUUGGUGCGAGUUGAGUCGCCUUCGGGUUAGAUUCCUCGUCCAUGUGCGCACCUCUGAUAUCUGUCGGUAGACGGGUCGAUAAAACCCAACGGGUGGCAGCGGUCGCCUGCGCGCCGGUCUUUAUUGAUCGAUUGCGYGYGGGUGUUCUGUAGUCAGCCGCCGUCGGUUCAGGGUGUGGACUCCCGCUAAKRGGUSCUGGGGGUCGGCGGUGAGUAKGUCGGUUUCCCACCCGACCCGUCUUGAAACACGGACCAAGAAGUCUAACGUGUGGGCGAGUCUUCGGGGCUACCGAACCCURUAUAGAAGGMGAAAUGAAAGUGAAGGCUGACUUUUAGUUAGCUUUGGUGGGAUCCGGUCGUUUUUAAUACGUCGGCGCACCACCGGCCCGUCYAAU
RNAcentral lists this ribosomal RNA (502 nucleotides) under Protostomia sp. NZAC 03013464. Its description in RNAcentral is "partial 28S ribosomal RNA". Lineage: Eukaryota; Metazoa. The record is from RNAcentral.